This 109-nucleotide transfer RNA is filed under the name Bacillota bacterium. RNAcentral's name for it is "tRNA-OTHER". Lineage: Bacteria; Bacillati; Bacillota. The record is from RNAcentral.
GCGGGAGAUGGCGGGCAUCUGCACCAGGAAGCGUUCUCCGCCACAUCCCGCGACUCAAAAUCGCGUGGGGUAGCCCCUCGUGUGGGUUCGAGUCCCACCUUCGGCACCA